RNAcentral lists this non-coding RNA (252 nucleotides) under uncultured bacterium. RNAcentral describes it as "partial 16S ribosomal RNA". It matches the Rfam family "Bacterial small subunit ribosomal RNA", at positions 524 to 776 of the family's 1533-position model. The record is from RNAcentral. RNAcentral also lists the same sequence under 2 other names.
UACGUAGGUGGCAAGCGUUGUCCGGAAUUAUUGGGCGUAAAGCGCGCGCAGGCGGAUAGGUCAGUCUGUCUUAAAAGUUCGGGGCUUAACCCCGUGAUGGGAUGGAAACUGCCAAUCUAGAGUAUCGGAGAGGAAAGUGGAAUUCCUAGUGUAGCGGUGAAAUGCGUAGAUAUUAGGAAGAACACCAGUGGCGAAGGCGACUUUCUGGACGAAAACUGACGCUGAGGCGCGAAAGCCAGGGGAGCGAACGGG